Molecule: ribosomal RNA, 492 nt
Filed under: uncultured soil bacterium
Lineage: Bacteria
Description: bacterial SSU rRNA
Rfam family: Bacterial small subunit ribosomal RNA
Source: RNAcentral
AGAUUGAACGCUGGCGGCAGGCCUAACACAUGCAAGUCGAGCGGUAGAGAGGUGCUUGCACCUCUUGAGGGCGGCGGACGGGUGAGUAAUGCCUAGGAAUCUGCCUAGUGGUGGGGGAUAACGUUCGGAAACGGACGCUAAUACCGCAUACGUCCUACGGGAGAAAGCGGGGGACCUUCGGGCCUCGCGCCAUUAGAUGAGCCUAGGUCGGAUUAGCUAGUUGGUGAGGUAAUGGCUCACCAAGGCGACGAUCCGUAACUGGUCUGAGAGGAUGAUCAGUCACACUGGAACUGAGACACGGUCCAGACUCCUACGGGAGGCAGCAGUGGGAAUAUUGGACAAUGGGCAAAGCCUGAUCCAGCCAUGCCGCGUGUGUGAAGAAGGUCUUCGGAUUGUAAAGCACUUUAAGUUGGAGAAGGUUGUAACUUAAUACGUUGCAACUUUGACUUACCGACAGAAUAAGCACCGGCUAACUUCGUAGCCAGCAGCCGA